RNAcentral lists this ribosomal RNA (194 nucleotides) under uncultured bacterium. RNAcentral describes it as "partial 16S ribosomal RNA". It matches the Rfam family "Bacterial small subunit ribosomal RNA", at positions 338 to 524 of the family's 1533-position model. The record is from RNAcentral.
CCUACGGGAGGCAGCAGUAGGGAAUUUUCGGCAAUGAGCGAAAGCUUGACCGAGCAAUGGUGCGUGAGCGAUGAAGGUCUUUGGAUUGUAAAGCUCUUUUAUUGGGGAAGAAAAACUCGAUUAGGAAAUGAAUCGAAAUUGACGGUACCCAUUGAAUAAGCCCCGGCCAACUAUGUGCCAGCCGCCGCGGUAAU